GAGUUUGAUCGUGGCUCAGGACGAACGCUGGCGGCGUGCCUAACACAUGCAAGUCGAGCGGAAAGGCCUCCUUCGGGAGGUACUCGAGCGGCGAACGGGUGAGUAACACGUGGGCAACCAACCCCUCACAUCGGGAUACCCCGGGGAAACUCGGAUCAAUACCGGAUAAUGCGCGACGCUGUUGGGCGUCGCACCAAAGGUAGCUUCGGCCUCUGGUGAGGGACGGGCCCGCGGCCCAUUAGCUUGUUGGUGGGGUAAUGGCCUACCAAGGCAACGAUGGGUAGCUGGUCUGAGAGGAUGAUCAGCCACACUGGGACUGAGAUACGGCCCAGACUCCUACGGGAGGCAGCAGUGGGGAAUAUUGCGCAAUGGGCGGAAGCCUGACGCAGCAACGCCGCGUGCGGGAGGAAGG
This 412-nucleotide ribosomal RNA is filed under the name uncultured bacterium. RNAcentral describes it as "bacterial SSU rRNA". It matches the Rfam family "Bacterial small subunit ribosomal RNA", at positions 9 to 414 of the family's 1533-position model. The record is from RNAcentral.